AACGAACGCUGGCGGCAUGCCUAACACAUGCAAGUCGAACGAGAUCUUCGGGUCUAGUGGCGCACGGGUGCGUAACGCGUGGGAAUCUGCCCUUUGGUUCGGAAUAACAGUUGGAAACGACUGCUACUACCGGAUGAUGACGAAAGUCCAAAGAUUUAUCGCCAGAGGAUGAGCCCGCGUAGGAUUAGCUAGUUGGUGUGGUAAAGGCGCACCAAGGCGACGAUCCUUAGCUGGUCUGAGAGGAUGAUCAGCCACACUGGGACUGAGACACGGCCCAGACUCCGACGGGAGGCAGCAGUGGGGAAUAUUGGACAAUGGGCGAAAGCCUGAUCCAGCAAUGCCGCGUGAGUGAUGAAGGCCUUAGGGUUGUAAAGCUCUUUUACCCGGGAUGAUAAUGACAGUACCGGGAGAAUAAGCUCCAGCUAACUCCGUGCCAGCCGCCGCCGUAA
This 449-nucleotide ribosomal RNA is filed under the name uncultured bacterium. RNAcentral's name for it is "partial 16S ribosomal RNA". It matches the Rfam family "Bacterial small subunit ribosomal RNA", at positions 29 to 523 of the family's 1533-position model. The record is from RNAcentral.